CUUUCUCAGUUUACAUUUUUUGUCUCUUUUGAUUUAAUUAAAAAAAAAAAAAACAGCCAGAGCAU
Molecule: non-coding RNA, 65 nt
Filed under: Pteridomonas danica
Lineage: Eukaryota; Dictyochophyceae; Pedinellales
Source: RNAcentral